AGCGAACGCUGGCGGCAGGCCUAACACAUGCAAGUCGAACGGAUCCUUCGGGAUUAGUGGCGGACGGGUGAGUAACACGUGGGAACGUGCCCUUUGGUUCGGAACAACUCAGGGAACCUUGAGCUAAUACCGGAUGUGCCCUUCGGGGGAAAGAUUUAUCGCCAUUGGAGCGGCCCGCGUCUGAUUAGCUAGUUGGGGAGGUAAAGGCUCACCAAGGCGACGAUCAGUAGCUGGUCUGAGAGGAUGAUCAGCCACAUUGGGACUGAGACACGGCCCAAACUCCUACGGGAGGCAGCAGUGGGGAAUCUUGCGCAAUGGGCGAAAGCCUGACGCAGCCAUGCCGCGUGAAUGAUGAAGGUCUUAGGAUUGUAAAAUUCUUUCACCGGGGACGAUAAUGACGGUACCCGGAGAAGAAGCCCCGGCUAACUUCGUGACAGCAGCCGCCGUAA
RNAcentral lists this ribosomal RNA (449 nucleotides) under uncultured bacterium. RNAcentral describes it as "partial 16S ribosomal RNA". It matches the Rfam family "Bacterial small subunit ribosomal RNA", at positions 29 to 523 of the family's 1533-position model. The record is from RNAcentral.